CUACGGGAGGCAGCAGUGGGGAAUAUUGGACAAUGGGCGAAAGCCUGAUCCAGCCAUGCCGCGUGUGUGAAGAAGGCCUUCGGGUUGUAAAGCACUUUCAGUGGGGAAGAAAGCCUUGGGGCUAAUACCCUCGAGGAAGGACAUCACCCACAGAAGAAGCACCGGCUAACUCCGUGCCAGCAGCCGCGGUAAUACGGAGGGUGCGAGCGUUAAUCGGAAUUACUGGGCGUAAAGCGCGCGUAGGCGGUCUGAUAAGCCGGUUGUGAAAGCCCCGGGCUCAACCUGGGAACGGCAUCCGGAACUGUCAGGCUAGAGUGCAGGAGAGGAAGGUAGAAUUCCCGGUGUAGCAGUGAAAUGCGUAGAGAUCGGGAGGAAUACCAGUGGCGAAGGCGGCCUUCUGGACUGACACUGACGCUGAGGUGCGAAAGCGUGGGUAGCAAACAGGAUUAGAUACCCUAGUAGUC
RNAcentral lists this ribosomal RNA (464 nucleotides) under Vreelandella stevensii. Its description in RNAcentral is "partial 16S ribosomal RNA". It matches the Rfam family "Bacterial small subunit ribosomal RNA", at positions 339 to 795 of the family's 1533-position model. Lineage: Bacteria; Pseudomonadati; Pseudomonadota; Gammaproteobacteria; Oceanospirillales; Halomonadaceae. The record is from RNAcentral.